UCCCCGACGAAAAAGUUGCACGAGUUUUAAACGAAGUGAAAUUUUAACGAGGUUAAGAAAAUCUAGAAUUACAUAUAUUUUUAAAAAAGUGCAUGUUUCGAAUAACUUAUCCCUACUAAAGAAUUAAUAAGAAAAAUUAUUUUUCUCGCUUUUCAUUAAUUAAUCGUUCGAUACUUUCUCUUUGCAAAAGCAAAAAGUUGGGUAGAAGCAUUUUUUUUCUUUAAAUAUUGAAAUUUAAAAAUCAUUAAAGUCUAUCUUCUGAUACCUAACAUGCUAAGUUUAAUUUUUCUCAAUUCCAUAUUACGAAAGAAAAUGCUUUUCGUAAAGCAAUUCGUUCUAAUUUCUACUUUAUUCUAAAUUAUUCUGAAUCCUACUAGGAUAUAUCGAAAAAUUAAGAAUCUUUAGAAUCGUGUAACUUAUAGCUAGGCCCUGAAAAAAAAUAUUGUUCUCAAAACGAUCCAUUUUACGAGCUAUUUCUCUUUUACUACGUUUGUUAAUAACUUUUCUUCAUUCUUUCUCAUUUUUUUUUUUUUUGCGACAUGAUUCAGCUUAAUCCUGCUUCCUUACCUCGUAAACUCUUAUGAAUACUAAAGUAAUACGCAGUAUUACGAUCGAUAUAGGAAAUUAAUGCUCUCUAUUAUUAUCAUCGCGACUAUAUAACCCUCCCUGUACACUGUUCCACGAGAUAUUUUAUACGUGACGCUGCAUUUCCAUAUUUCUGCAUUCCUCACAUUCAAAUCUCUUAAUUAAUAAACGAUUAAUCGUUAUCUUUAUCUGUAAAUCAUUUUAACCACGUCUCUCGUCACGGAAUACGAGGAAUUCUUUUCGAAAUUUCCAUCAUCGAAACGAGUAAAAAUAAAACAGCCAUCUAGGAUUCGAGCGAAACAGCACGUGACCUUAAAACGAUCGUAAAACGGAGGAACAGUGUCUGCGAUUUAUGACGCUGUUUCUGGAUUGUAUGGGACAGCUUAACACCGAGAGAAUUCGAAGAGAAUUUGUACGAGGACGGUGCAUAGUUCUGCGGUGAAGAAUGCAUCGAGGAAGAAACGUCGAGUCUCUGCGCUCAAUGCGAAUUACGAUUAUAUUUUAUUAGGAAAGACAUGGACUGGAGAAUUCUUUGGAUUAUUCGUUUCGAGUAAAAAUUGUUUAAAAUACUUUGAUAUUCGACUUUUUGCAGACGGAUGGGUAGAUUGGGGAUAACUAUUGGAGCAGGCGUUCACGACUCGAAAUAAGGGAUGUCCGACAAACGAGCGACUCGUACUACUGAAAACACCAACAUAUCUUUACCUUCUCACAAUCUUAUACACGAUGUAAAUCGUUUUACAAAAUGGUGUACAACCGAUUUCUCCACUUCUUCUCGCAAAUCGAACUCUUUUCUCUCUCUCGAUUCAAUCUACGAAAUCCUGCUUACCACGAAACGCAUUCCAACGACGAACAAAACCGCCUCCCCAUCCAGAUCAUGGUAGUGUUUUUCCACAAUCGAGUUUCAUAACUCGAGUCGGCUUACACAUCUAAUCCAUUACUCGGCUCGUGAUACACGAGGGUAUAAGCAGAAACGUGGAUCGGAUCGUAAAGGAGAUUGUUGAGUCGGUGGUGGAUGCUUAAAGUUGAAAGAACUUGGAUCGCCGAAGGGGCAAUCGGUGUAAUGGCGACACAGCGAGGAAAGAGCGAUUCCUCGUUGCUCUUUGGAUUCUUCUAAUCGAUGGAAAGAGUAACGUCGAUGGCCUCCCGUCGAUAUUUCCUAAAGGAUAGUGAUUUUGAAAAAAGGAUAAUUUGGGAUUAUGAUUAAGCAUGGGAAGAUAUUGGAGAAGUAAUAUUUUGGUGAAGCAAAUAUUUGGAAGUUCAAUUUUAACAAAUCGUACAAAUUGAUUAAGAGAUUCGUAUUAAGAUUCAUAUUAAUCAUACGUAGAAUGACACGGAGAAAAUAACAUGGAUAACCAGACAAUUUGUCGAAAAUUAAAAUAGCGGAGAUGACAUUGAAAUGUGUACAAUUUGAAAUAUAUUUUAAUUUUGGAUCUACUCUUUUAAGGAAUUUCAAACUUGCGGAAUGAAAGUAUUUUGUGGAAUAAAAAUUUCUACAAGUGUUAAUUAAUAAAAAACUCUUUGAAAA
Apis cerana (Asiatic honeybee) is the source of this 2110-nucleotide long non-coding RNA. RefSeq lists it as uncharacterized. The record is from RefSeq and is a predicted model, not a curated record. Lineage: Eukaryota; Metazoa; Arthropoda; Insecta; Hymenoptera; Apidae.